Molecule: transfer RNA, 69 nt
Filed under: Reticunassa hiradoensis
Lineage: Eukaryota; Metazoa; Mollusca; Gastropoda; Neogastropoda; Nassariidae
Description: tRNA-Ala
Rfam family: tRNA
About the family: Transfer RNA (tRNA) molecules are approximately 80 nucleotides in length. Their secondary structure includes four short double-helical elements and three loops (D, anti-codon, and T loops).
Source: RNAcentral
UGACUUGAUACUUUAAGGUAAAAGAUUUGAUUUGCAUUCAGACAAUAAGUUUUUAAACUUUCGGGUCAU